Molecule: ribosomal RNA, 497 nt
Filed under: uncultured bacterium
Lineage: Bacteria
Description: partial 16S ribosomal RNA
Rfam family: Bacterial small subunit ribosomal RNA
Source: RNAcentral
GAUGAACGCUGGCGGCGUGCCUAAUACAUGCAAGUCGAGCGAACAGACGAGGAGCUUGCUCCUCUGACGUUAGCGGCGGACGGGUGAGUAACACGUGGAUAACCUACCUAUAAGACUGGGAUAACUUCGGGAAACCGGAUCUAAUACCGGAUAAUAUAUUGAACCGCAUUGUUCAAUAGUGAAAGACGGUUUUGCUGUCACUUCUAGAUGGAUCCGCGCCGCAUUAGCUAGUUGGUAAGGUAACGGCUUACCAAGGCGACGAUGCGUAGACGACCUGAGAGGGUGAUCGGCCACACUGGAACUGAGACACGGUCCAGACGCCUGCGGGAGGCAGCAGUAGGGAAUCUUCCGCAAUGGGCGAAAGCCUGACGGAGCAACGCCGCGUGAGUGAUGAAGGUCUUCGGAUCGUAAAACUCUGUUAUUAGGGAAGAACAAAUGUGUAAGUAACUAUGCACGUCGUGACGGUACCUAAUCAGAAAGCCACGGCUAACUACGUG